RNAcentral lists this long non-coding RNA (245 nucleotides) under Oryza sativa (Asian cultivated rice). RNAcentral describes it as "long non-coding RNA (OSAT_LNC001642)". Lineage: Eukaryota; Viridiplantae; Streptophyta; Magnoliopsida; Poales; Poaceae. The record is from RNAcentral.
GGCAGCGGCACUGGGGGAAGUGGGUGGCGGAGAUCCGCCUCCCGCGGAACCGCACGCGGCUCUGGCUCGGCACCUUCGACACAGCCGAGGAGGCGGCGCUUGCCUACGACCAGGCGGCGUACCGCCUCCGCGGCGACGCGGCGCGGCUCAACUUCCCCGACAACGCCGCCUCCCGCGGCCCGCUCCACGCCUCCGUCGACGCCAAGCUCCAGACGCUCUGCCAGAACAUCGCCGCCGCCAAGAAC